Molecule: ribosomal RNA, 440 nt
Filed under: uncultured bacterium
Lineage: Bacteria
Description: partial 16S ribosomal RNA
Rfam family: Bacterial small subunit ribosomal RNA
Source: RNAcentral
CCUACGGGGGGCAGCAGUGGGGAAUAUUGCACAAUGGGGGGAACCCUGAUGCAGCAACGCCGCGUGGGUGAAGAAGUACUUCGGUAUGUAAAGCCCUGUCAGCAGGGAAGAAAAUGACGGUACCUGACCAAGAAGCCCCGGCUAACUACGUGCCAGCAGCCGCGGUAAUACGUAGGGGGCAAGCGUUAUCCGGAUUUACUGGGUGUAAAGGGCGUGUAGGCGGGAAAGCAAGUCAGAUGUGAAAACCAUGGUCUCAACCUGUGGCCUGCAUUUGAAACUGUUUUUCUUGAGUACUGGAGAGGCAGACGGAAUUCCUAGUGUAGCGGUGAAAUGCGUAGAUAUUAGGAGGAACACCAGUGGCGAAGGCGGUCUGCUGGACAGCAACUGACGCUGAGGCGCGAAAGCGUGGGGAGCAAACAGGAUUAGAUACCCUUGUAGUC